Oreochromis aureus is the source of this 1593-nucleotide long non-coding RNA. The record is from Ensembl. Lineage: Eukaryota; Metazoa; Chordata; Actinopteri; Cichliformes; Cichlidae.
AGUUAUGAACUGUUUCUGAGAGACAAAUAACACCAGGAUCCUUUUCUAUGUAGCUGACAGCUGGCACACAGUAAAAAAUGGAGGGUCAAUAUUUCAGAGUAAACCUAUUUUAACCUAGAUAGAGUAUUUACAACUCUAUGAAGAGUAAACCAGCUCUAACAUCAGAGUUAAAAGUCAGUGUAAAGUUUGUUAGUCACGCAGUGAAGACUUAACUCCACACAGUGUUGAUUUUUACCAGUCUGCGGGUGUGUGCGGCAGAGCUCUGAUGUGCAUGGAAUUUUCUCUGAAAAGCUGCCACAGUCAAAAAGGUUUAAGAGUGUGCAAAAACCAAAUCUCUGAGAGAUGCAACCAGAAGAUGGAUUAGAAACAUACUUGAGGCUGAGAUGACAGAAUAACAUGGGUAAUAAUCAAAAAUGUAAGAUAUAAAGAAACACUUUUAACAUUGUAUUAUUUUUAAUUGUGAUUUUUAAUGCCAAUUAUUGAAUUUAUACAUUAGGACAUCUCCCCCUAAAAGCGUAAGAGUAAUGUCUGCGCAGGGCAUUGUUGCUCUGUCUCCAUAUCUGAAAGGCCCAUAUUCACAACAUGGAUAUAAACAUUACUACGAUCCAGAGAGCGGUUCAGGAUACAUUGCAUGGUUGAAGACCAUUCAAAGAAAAGCUGCGGAGGAAAGAAGCAUCUCAGUUUGCAAAUCUCCCAAAAGUAAGUUCACUUAUCAUUUAAAUGAUACUGAUGUAAUUUGUAGGCAGGAUUCAAUCAAAUUGUUUUUUCUGAACUUGGUGGGCCAGUCCAUGGUUGAUCCAGACCACUCACCACUAAGUGUUAUCAGAUGAGGCUGUAAGAGCAGAUAUUGCUCUUUUGAGACACUCUGCUGAUGAAGACACUAUCCGUGAAAAGAUGAAAGCUACCUCCAUUUAUCGGCAUUCAAUGGUCAACGAUGAAAAGAAUGCAGCAGAUGUUUUCAGAGGCCUGAUGCAGUUUCUGGACACACCAGGAAUGAUAGAACAAGAUUUCCGACUCCUGUUUUGUAAGGUCAAUGCAAGCAAAUUCUUGGAGAGGUAGCCCAUCAAUCUCAAAGCAAAGGUUGUAAAGGAAAGUCAUGGACAUGUCCCCACCUCAGAGCUCUUGGAGUUAAUGUGAAAUGCUGAUUCAGGCUGGGACAGUGACAUGUCUACUAUCUUGCUGCUGCUACAUCUGCUACCACCAUCUGCACAAGAGCGAAAGAGACCAGGAAAGAUGUCUGCAUCUCAAGCUGUCGAUAACCUCAUUAAAUUCCCAAAGGCUGGAACCAGUGUACAGCAGCAUCUAGACAACAGCAGUCAGCCCUACCUUCUUGACUCAGGGAUCCACAAGAAGCAGCAUUCACACCUUCAUUGUGAUUGAGAAGCAUGCACUUCCUCCCUUCCCAGGAAGGUGGCACAGAUGCCCCUCCAGUGGUACUCCUUGGGCUCUCGCACUCUGGGGUCCCUGAAUGUCUGGAGCCUGGAUCUCCUCCAUGCCUGCUUCAUGCCCUGGGGGACGGGGCUAUGGCCCUCCACACCCUCUAGCACACCGUUACAUGGGGAAACCUUCUGUAUACAAGCGCGCUGAUCCACA